GCAAAAUGUGGGAAAAGUCAAGGGGUCUGAAUACUUUCCGAAUGCACUGUAUACCAGCUAAUUCAUUUUAUAUUACUACUAUCGCAGUUAAACAUGAUGUGAUAGUUUUUUUUAUGGCGUCAUGACGUUCCUCUCUUUUCUCAGGUGUCGACUUGGUCCCAAUCGAGGCUAUUCCCAAUGUGGUCGCUCUGACAGAGCACAUCACCACAGAGUAAUGCCGACAGGCUCUGGAAGGAGCUCCAGACAUGGAAGGUGCACAUAGUCCUAAACGACAGAGUUCGAAAUGUUGGAGCCAACUGGGUGCAUGAUGCCUUCUCUCAGGGACAUGUUUUCUGAAUUGGAUCUGGAAGGAGAUGCAGAGAGCGAGCUACGGCAGACACAGCCAAGGGGAAGAAGAGAAAGGCCCAAGAGGAGCUGGGGACGGCCCAGCUGGAGGAGGAAGACGCGGGGACAUCAAAGGAAGCUGGGGAAGAGGGGGAUAGCGACUCGGAUGAUGUUGACGACAGCAGCGACUCGGAUGACGAGAGGUCAGGGCUCAUGUCAAUUGACUUAUUAAUGAAUAGACUUAGUUUAACGACUUUGCAGGAUUCUGAUAGCAAACAGCUAGUUACUGGAUUUGGCUAUUUCAGCCAUACACUUUGCUGACAGGUGUAAAAAUAAAUCAAGCAUGCAGCCAUGCAAUCUCCAUAGACAAACAUUGCCAGUAGAAUGACUGAAGAGCUCUGUGACUUUCAACGUGGCACCAUCUUAGGAUAACAUCUACCCAACAAGUCAGUUCGUCAAAUAUCUGCCCUGCUAGAGCUGCCCCGGUCAACUGUAAGUGCUGUUAUUGUGAAGUAGAAAUGUUUAGGAACAACAACGGCUCAGCCGCGAAGUGGUAGGCCACACAAGCUCAAAGAACGGGACCGCUAAGUGCUGUAGCGCGAAAACAUCGUCUGUCCUUGGUUGCAACACUCACUACUAAGUUCCAAACUGCCUCUGGAAGCAACGUCAGCAUAAUAACUGUUCAUUGGGAGCUUCAUGAAGUGGGUUUCCAUGGCCGAGCAGCUUCACAC
RNAcentral lists this long non-coding RNA (1055 nucleotides) under Oncorhynchus kisutch (coho salmon). RNAcentral's name for it is "lncRNA (ENSOKIG00005016191.1)". Lineage: Eukaryota; Metazoa; Chordata; Actinopteri; Salmoniformes; Salmonidae. The record is from RNAcentral.